This is a long non-coding RNA of Erigeron canadensis, 106 nucleotides long. RefSeq lists it as uncharacterized. The record is from RefSeq and is a predicted model, not a curated record. The transcript is spliced from 3 exons. NCBI's taxonomy places the organism in Eukaryota, Viridiplantae, Streptophyta, Magnoliopsida, Asterales, Asteraceae.
GUAAAAAAGGUUUAAAGCUUACAAGAUCAAAUGAAGACUAUUGUGUUAUUCACAAGACUAGUUGGAAUUGCCGCCGGAGGAUGCAAGGUAACUUGUGAAGAAGAUU